Molecule: ribosomal RNA, 310 nt
Filed under: uncultured bacterium
Lineage: Bacteria
Description: partial 16S ribosomal RNA
Rfam family: Bacterial small subunit ribosomal RNA
Source: RNAcentral
AAGAGACAGCAGUAGCCGCGGUAAAACGGAGGGUGCAAGCGUUAAUCGGAAUUACUGGGCGUAAAGCGCACGCAGGCGGUCUGUCAAGUCAGAUGUGAAAUCCCCGGGCUUAACCUGGGAACUGCAUUUGAAACUGGCAGGCUAGAGUCUUGUAGAGGGGGGUAGAAUUCCAGGUGUAGCGGUGAAAUGCGUAGAGAUCUGGAGGAAUACCGGUGGCGAAGGCGGCCCCCUGGACAAAGACUGACGCUCAGGUGCGAAAGCGUGGGGAGCAAACAGGAUUAGAUACCCCAGUAGUCCCUGUCUCUUAUAC